RNAcentral lists this transfer RNA (75 nucleotides) under Hyphomicrobiales bacterium. RNAcentral describes it as "Rhizobiales bacterium (sediment metagenome) tRNA-Lys". It matches the Rfam family "tRNA". Rfam says of the family: Transfer RNA (tRNA) molecules are approximately 80 nucleotides in length. Lineage: Bacteria; Pseudomonadati; Pseudomonadota; Alphaproteobacteria; Hyphomicrobiales. RNAcentral also lists the same sequence under 2 other names. The record is from RNAcentral.
GGGCCCGUAGCUCAGCGGUAGAGCACCUGACUUUUAAUCAGGGUGUCGUUGGUUCGACUCCAACCGGGCUCACCA